Molecule: long non-coding RNA, 1573 nt
Organism: Pangasianodon hypophthalmus (striped catfish)
Lineage: Eukaryota; Metazoa; Chordata; Actinopteri; Siluriformes; Pangasiidae
Exons: 3
Source: RefSeq, a predicted model, not a curated record
AUCACACUGGGUGGAUAUAUACACACCUGGCAACCUCGCCUAUUCAGACCGCUGUGGAUGAUGGGAUACGGUCCUGUUUUGUUUUGAUGAGAAAGCUCACCACCUGUUCAGCGAACGUCACUGUAGCAGCAGCGGCACAUUUUCUGCCUGGAAACACCGCGAGCUCACCGGAAAGGUCAUGGAUCCAAGUUCAAGUUCCAGUUCCUCAGAUCACAGCCAGAAGAAUCAAAGUAAGAAGAAUCAAAGCUGUGAAUCAUCUCAGGGAAGUGAAGCACCAGUCACACAGGAGGAUGUGAAUACGGCACGCAGGAGUGAUUCACUGGGAGCAGUGACUGAACUUCCCCAGUGCAAAAUGGGUAGCAAGACGGCGGACGACAUGAGCUUCAUGAUAUCGUGUACAAACUGGUACUAGGGGCAUGUGAUAUGUGAUCACUUCUCUGAGUGCCAAAUUCAGUGUGAGAUCCAUCAGUAAAGAAAAGAAAAUGGAUGAUAACUUGUGGCAUAUGUUGCACUAAUAAACAUGUAGCUUGUAAAUAAGCCUGAGCUUGAGGGACCUUAAAGGAAGCUUAAAGGAAAAAUCCAUCCUGAACAACUUGCAUGUUAACCUUUAUAAUUAAGGAGAUUUUCACUGCUGUGUAAAAUAUAACAAAUGUAAUGUAAUACAAUUCUGAGUUAACUUUACUUUUUUCAUUGACAUAUUGGCAUAUUUUCAUUUUGUCUUCCUACAUUACCCACAAUGCCAUUUGACUACCAGCUGAUAGUGAAGCCAAUGGGAUCUAGUUAAAUUGUAGCAGUGUUUUAGUCCUUUAGACUGUCCAGCUCUCUCGCAUCCUCAUCUCUACACUCUGCUUAAACAGAUAAGGCUCCAAAGCUUCAAAUUAAAUGCUAAUUCCUCCCUCAACACCAUUGUGUUUCUCAUCUCAGAAGUUGCUAACUGGCUGAGCCGAGUCUCUGCGGGAACUCCGCGCAGCUGUGUCGCGUAUCUGCAUUACAUUUUGUGUCCCACGUUUGUUGUCUCCACGACACUGGAUUUCUUAUUAAUAUGACAUUGAAUGUUGAGCUUUUGUUUUUCUCUAACUGAAAAACCUGACUCUUUUUUCAUUUAUGUUUGAAAUCAUUGUAAUUGUUACUUUACCUAGUAAUGGUCAGUGUACCUGUGCUAACAGUCUCUCCCUGUGAUGUCAACGUGGCACACAACCCCUAAAUUCUCACCAGAAUAACGAAAAUACAGCACUGAAAUUGGAGAAUUGAAGAUGGGAAGAAGACCAGAUGAUGUUUUUCCAAUCCUCAUCCGACCCAAUUCAGUGAGCCUCAGAUUCCCAUCUGACAGGAGUGGACCUGAUGUGGUCUUCUGCUGUUGUAGCCUGUCCACCUCAAGGUUCAAUGUGUUGUGCAUUGUGAGAUGCUUUUCUGCUCACCACGGUUGUAAAGAGUGUUUAUUUGAGUAAGCACCCUGCAUGUCCUAUUGAAUUAUCUGCAUGAUUUUAUGCAUUGUGCUGCUGCCAUAUGAUUGGCUGAUGAAUGUGUGAAGUGUACAGGUGUUCCUAUUAAAGUGGCAAGUGAGUGUUUUUAA